CCACCGCCUUUUGCUGCCCCACGACCAGGAAGAAACGCGUCUCAGAUCAAUUACAAGUGUCCAUGGGGGAUUUCCCUUCUUCCACCUGUCUCAAUCUUAUCAUGAGUUGGAAUUUCCAUUUCGUCUGGACGCCAUUUUUCGCCUGGUUUCACCUUCUUUUUAUGAGACUGGCAAGUGAGAAUGGAGCUCUUCGCCAUAACCUCGAGUACGGGCAAUCUCUCUUUCAGUGAGAUGGACUUCUCUUCAUCUAAUGGCGACACAUCAACUAAUGUUGUCAAUAAUACUGACAGAUCUUUGACGGAAUUCAAUACGACGGAA
This is a long non-coding RNA of Lingula anatina, 318 nucleotides long. The record is from RefSeq and is a predicted model, not a curated record. NCBI's taxonomy places the organism in Eukaryota, Metazoa, Brachiopoda, Lingulata, Lingulida, Lingulidae.